This 1436-nucleotide ribosomal RNA is filed under the name uncultured bacterium. Its description in RNAcentral is "16S ribosomal RNA". It matches the Rfam family "Bacterial small subunit ribosomal RNA". The record is from RNAcentral.
GUUUGAUCAUGGCUCAGAACGUACGCUGGCGGCACGCCUAACACAUGCAAGUCGAACGAAGUAGCAAUACUUAGUGGCAGACGGGUGAGUAACAUGUAGGUAUCUGCCCUUUGGCCUGGAAUAACACGAGGAAACUUGUGCUAAUACCGGAUAAGUCUUUACGGAGAAAGCUUUAUGCACCAUUGGAUGAGCCUGCACUUGAUUAGUUUGUUGGUGGGGUAAUGGCCUACCAAGACUGUGAUCAAUAGCUGAUUUGAGAGGAUGAUCAGCCACAUUGGGACUGAGACACGGCCCAAACUCCUACGGGAGGCAGCAGUGGGGAAUCUUGCACAAUGGAGGAAACUCUGAUGCAGCGAUGCCGCGUGAGUGAAGAAGGCCCUUGGGUUGUAAAGCUCUUUCGUCGGGGAAGAAAAUGACUGUACCCGAAUAAGAAGGUCCGGCUAACUUCGUGCCAGCAGCCGCGGUAAUACGAAGGGACCUAGCGUAGUUCGGAAUUACUGGGCUUAAAGAGUUCGUAGGUGGUUGAAAAAGUUGGUGGUGAAAUCCCAGAGCUUAACUCUGGAACUGCCAUCAAAACUUUUCAGCUAGAGUAUGAUAGAGGAAAGCAGAAUUUCUAGUGUAGAGGUGAAAUUCGUAGAUAUUAGAAAGAAUACCAAUUGCGAAGGCAGCUUUCUGGAUCAUUACUGACACUGAGGAACGAAAGCAUGGGUAGCGAAGAGGAUUAGAUACCCUCGUAGUCCAUGCCGUAAACGAUGUGUGUUAGACGUUGGAAAUUUAUUUUCAGUGUCGCAGCGAAAGCGAUAAACACACCGCCUGGGGAGUACGACCGCAAGGUUAAAACUCAAAUGAAUUGACGGGGACCCGCACAAGUAGUGGAGCAUGUGGUUUAAUUCGAAGAUACGCGCAGAACCUUACCAACACUUGACAUGUUCGUCGCGACUUUAAGAGAUUAAAGUUUUCGGUUCGGCCGGACGAAACACAGGUGCUGCAUGGCUGUCGUCAGCUCGUGUCGUGAGAUGUUGGGUUAAGUCCCGCAACGAGCGCAACCCUCACUUUUAGUUGCCAUCAUUAAGUUGGGCACUCUGAAAGAACUGCCAGUGAUAAGCUGGAGGAAGGUGGGGAUGACGUCAAGUCCUCAUGGCCCUUACGUGUUGGGCUACACACGUGCUACAAUGGUAUCUACAACAGGAAGCAAGACUGCGAAGUUAAGCAAAUCCUUAAAAGAUACCUCAGUUCGGAUUGCACUCUGCAACUCGAGUGCAUGAAGCUGGAAUUACUAGUAAUCGUGGAUCAGCGUGCCACGGUGAAUGCGUUCCCGGGUCUUGUACACACCGCCCGUCACACCAUGGGAGUUGGUUCUACCUUAAGGCAAGGUUUCAAACCCUUGACCACGGUAUAGUCAGCGACUGGGGUGAAGUCAUAACAAGGUAGCCGUA